RNAcentral lists this ribosomal RNA (591 nucleotides) under Pantoea sp. Its description in RNAcentral is "bacterial SSU rRNA". It matches the Rfam family "Bacterial small subunit ribosomal RNA", at positions 847 to 1438 of the family's 1533-position model. Lineage: Bacteria; Pseudomonadati; Pseudomonadota; Gammaproteobacteria; Enterobacterales; Erwiniaceae. The record is from RNAcentral.
CGGAGCUAACGCGUUAAGUCGACCGCCUGGGGAGUACGGCCGCAAGGUUAAAACUCAAAUGAAUUGACGGGGGCCCGCACAAGCGGUGGAGCAUGUGGUUUAAUUCGAUGCAACGCGAAGAACCUUACCUGGCCUUGACAUCCAGAGAACUUAGCAGAGAUGCUUUGGUGCCUUCGGGAACUCUGAGACAGGUGCUGCAUGGCUGUCGUCAGCUCGUGUUGUGAAAUGUUGGGUUAAGUCCCGCAACGAGCGCAACCCUUAUCCUUUGUUGCCAGCGGCUCGGCCGGGAACUCAAAGGAGACUGCCGGUGAUAAACCGGAGGAAGGUGGGGAUGACGUCAAGUCAUCAUGGCCCUUACGGCCAGGGCUACACACGUGCUACAAUGGCGCAUACAAAGAGAAGCGACCUCGCGAGAGCAAGCGGACCUCAUAAAGUGCGUCGUAGUCCGGAUUGGAGUCUGCAACUCGACUCCAUGAAGUCGGAAUCGCUAGUAAUCGUAGAUCAGAAUGCUACGGUGAAUACGUUCCCGGGCCUUGUACACACCGCCCGUCACACCAUGGGAGUGGGUUGCAAAAGAAGUAGGUAGCUUAA